This 1472-nucleotide ribosomal RNA is filed under the name Halosimplex carlsbadense. RNAcentral describes it as "bacterial SSU rRNA". It matches the Rfam family "Archaeal small subunit ribosomal RNA". Lineage: Archaea; Methanobacteriati; Methanobacteriota; Halobacteria; Halobacteriales; Haloarculaceae. The record is from RNAcentral. RNAcentral also lists the same sequence under 1 other name.
AUUCCGGUUGAUCCUGCCGGAGGCCAUUGCUAUCGGAGUUCGACUUAGCCAUGCUAGUCGCGCGGGUUUAGACCCGCGGCAAAUAGCUCAGUAACACGUGGCCAAACUGCCCUACAGAUCGGAAUAACCUCGGGAAACUGAGGCUAAUGCCGAAUAGGACUUUCAGGUUGGAGUGCCGAGAGUUCGAAACGCUACGGCGCUGUAGGAUGUGGCUGCGGCCGAUUAGAUAGACGGUGGGGUAACGGCCCACCGUGCCGAUAAUCGGUACAGGUUGUGAGAGCAAGAGCCUGGAGACGGAAUCUGAGACAAGAUUCCGGGCCCUACGGGGCGCAGCAGGCGCGAAACCUUUACACUGCACGACAGUGCGAUAGGGGAACUCCGAGUGCGAGGGCAUAGAGCCCUCGCUUUUCCACACCGUAAGGUGGUGCGGGAACAAGUGCUGGGCAAGACCGGUGCCAGCCGCCGCGGUAAUACCGGCAGCACAAGUGAUGGCCGAUUUUAUUGGGCCUAAAGCGUCCGUAGCUGGCCGUGCAAGUCUGUCGGGAAAUCCAGUGGCUCAACCUCUGGGCUUCCGGCGGAAACUGCUCGGCUUGGGACCGGAAGACUCGAGGGGUACGUUCGGGGUAGGAGUGAAAUCCUGUAAUCCUGAACGGACCACCGAUGGCGAAAGCACCUCGAGAGCACGGAUCCGACAGUGAGGGACGAAAGCUAGGGUCUCGAACCGGAUUAGAUACCCGGGUAGUCCUAGCUGUUAACGAUGCCCGCUCGGUUCGGCGCAGGCUACGAGCCUGUGCCGCGCCUCAGUGAAGACGUAAGCGGGCCGCCUGGGAAGUACGUCCGCAAGGAUGAAACUUAAAGGAAUUGGCGGGGGAGCACUACAACCGGAGGAGCCUGCGGUUUAAUUGGACUCAACGCCGGACAUCUCACCAGCACCGACAAUGGUAAUGAUGGCCAGGUUGAUGACCUUACCCGACGCCGUUGAGAGGAGGUGCAUGGCCGCCGUCAGCUCGUACCGUGAGGCAUCCUGUUAAGUCAGGCAACGAGCGAGACCCGCAUCCUUAAUUGCCAGCAGCAUCCUUGUGAUGGCUGGGUACAUUAGGGAGACCGCCACGGCUAACGUGGAGGAAGGAACGGGCAACGGUAGGUCAGCAUGCCCCGAAUGUGCUGGGCAACACGCGGGCUACAAUGGCCGGGACAGUGGGAAGCUAAUCCGAGAGGAUACGCUAAUCCCCUAAACCCGGUCGUAGUUCGGAUUGAGGGCUGAAACUCGCCCUCAUGAAGCUGGAUUCGGUAGUAAUCGCGUGUCAGAAGCGCGCGGUGAAUACGUCCCUGCUCCUUGCACACACCGCCCGUCAAAUCACCCGAGUGGGGUCCGGAUGAGGCCAUCAUGCGAUGGUCGAAUCUGGGCUCCGCAAGGGGGAUUAAGUCGUAACAAGGUAGCCGUAGGGGAAUCUGCGGCUGGAUCACCUCCU